CAGCCGCCGCGGGAAUACGUAGGUGGCAAGCGUUGUCCGGAAUUAUUGGGCGUAAAGGGCUCGCAGGCGGUCUCUUAAGUCUGAUGUGAAAGCCCCGGCUCAACCGGGGAGGGUCAUUGGAAACUGGGAAACUUGAGUGCAGAAGAGGAGAGUGGAAUUCCACGUGUAGCGGUGAAAUGCGUAGAGAUGUGGAGGAACACCAGUGGCGAAGGCGACUCUCUGGUCUGUAACUGACGCUGAGGAGCGAAAGCGUGGGGAGCGAACAGGAUUAGAUACCCCAGUAGUCCCUGUCUCUUAUACC
This 301-nucleotide ribosomal RNA is filed under the name uncultured bacterium. RNAcentral's name for it is "partial 16S ribosomal RNA". It matches the Rfam family "Bacterial small subunit ribosomal RNA", at positions 509 to 808 of the family's 1533-position model. The record is from RNAcentral.